AACGUAGGAUCCGAGCGUUAUCCGAAUUCACUGGGCGUAAAGCGCGUGCAGGCGGUUCGGUAAGUUGGAUGUAAAAUCUCCUGGCUCAACUGGGAGGGGACGUUCAAUACUGUCGGACUAGAGGACGGCAGAGGAAGGUGGAAUUCCCGGUGUAGUGGUGAAAUGCGUAGAUAUCGGGAGGAACACCAGUGGCGAAGGCGGCCUUCUGGGCCGUACCUGACGCUCAGACGCGAAAGCUAGGGGAGCAAACGGG
Molecule: ribosomal RNA, 253 nt
Filed under: uncultured bacterium
Lineage: Bacteria
Description: partial 16S ribosomal RNA
Rfam family: Bacterial small subunit ribosomal RNA
Source: RNAcentral